RNAcentral lists this non-coding RNA (114 nucleotides) under Bacillus tuaregi. RNAcentral describes it as "SAM riboswitch (S box leader)". It matches the Rfam family "SAM riboswitch aptamer (S box leader)". Rfam says of the family: The SAM riboswitch is found upstream of a number of genes which code for proteins involved in methionine or cysteine biosynthesis in Gram-positive bacteria. The record is from RNAcentral. Lineage: Bacteria; Bacillati; Bacillota; Bacilli; Caryophanales; Bacillaceae.
UCUUAUCCAGAGCGGUGGAGGGACAGGCCCUAUGAAACCCGGCAACCAUUAAGGCGAAUUCUUGCCUUGAACGGUGCUAAUUCCUGCAAAGGCAGCAGCCUUUGAAAGAUGAGA